RNAcentral lists this long non-coding RNA (340 nucleotides) under Homo sapiens (human). Its description in RNAcentral is "non-protein coding lnc-NAV1-9:3". Lineage: Eukaryota; Metazoa; Chordata; Mammalia; Primates; Hominidae. The record is from RNAcentral.
CCCGGCGGUGCUGCCCUCCUAGGCCCCGGGAAGGCCGGCCGGCAGGGGCGGGGGCAGGAGUCGCCGACUCUGGGGGUGCUCCGAGCUCGUGCUGCGGUCCCACUGUGCGCCCUGUCGCCGCCACCGCGGAAAACGUCUUGCACGUGCGAGGGGCAUUUCAGGAGUUUCCUGUCUGUCAGGCUGGAGUGCAAUGGCACAAUCAUGGCUCACUGCGCCCUCCACCUCCCAGGCUCAAGCCAUCCUCCUAUCUCAGCCUCCUGAGUAGUUGAGACAACAGGCAUGUGCCACCAUGUCUGGCUAAUAUUUUAAUAAAAUUUUUUGUAGAGACAGGUUCUCCAUA